This is a long non-coding RNA of Cavia porcellus (domestic guinea pig), 2790 nucleotides long. RefSeq lists it as uncharacterized. NCBI's taxonomy places the organism in Eukaryota, Metazoa, Chordata, Mammalia, Rodentia, Caviidae. The transcript has 2 exons. The record is from RefSeq and is a predicted model, not a curated record.
UUUGGAGUCAGUUCAAGGCUGCUUUAAAUCCCGUGUGGCCUUGGGUCACUUCCUUAACCUCUCUGAGCUCCAAAGAGCUCCUGGUCUGCAAAACGGGAGCAAAGACCUAAAGGCUGUCAGAUGCAGUCAACGACAAACACACAGAGAUGAUAGCACCGCCUGUCGGGGCACACUCCCUCGGUCAGUGUAACAAUCGUUAUUAUUAUUCUCAAUGGCUUCCAGGGGGACUGUCCUUUCUGUCACCGUCCCCUCCAAGAUGUUUCCUGGCUCCUGUUGGGUUUUAAUGUUUCUAAUCUCCUGUUGAUUAUUCCUGGGGUUUCAGCCAAAUAAGCACUUCCAAUUAAAGCCUUCUCCCCAGCUCCAGUUGGGUUGCCAUGGAAACAGGAGCAAGGUUUUUACUUCUUCCCCGGAACACGCCUGCACGUGUGUACAUCUUUCCCAGGGUCUCUGCUCCUGAGGCAGGGAGGCACCAGGAGAAGCCACCCUCUUGUGACCCCACCAGAUCCUGUGCAGCACAGGACGACCACUGAGGCCAUCUUGGGUUCUGGUCCUCCUCCUCCCAGCUCUUCACCUUGUACAAGACCCAGACAGCCCAAGGAUGAUGCAGGUGGCUGGUCAGCAACGGAGCUGGAGCUGGCUCUGUUGGGCCAGCAGGCGGGGGCUGCAGAGCUCCGAGCUCCUCUCGCCAUGGGGACAGAGGGCUAUGCUUGCAUUUUCAGGGUGUGAGCUGGCACCUGUGCAUGUGUGCAUGAAUGUGUAUGCACAAAAGUGUGUGUGCUGCAUGUGGGUGCGCACCUGGCUGCAUGUAUAUAUAUGCACGUGAGUGUGUCAGCGUGUAUACCAUGUAUGUGUGUGCCACGAUGUGUACAGUAAGUACAUUAAGUCAAAGGGCACCUUGUGAGCUGGGCUUUGGAAACUCCACGGGCCUGAGGGGCCACAGCAGGAAGGCUCCACCGGCUGGGGCAGCCCUUUGGGGUGAGGCAGCUGGGGACUUGGGGCCCCGUGGAGAGCUCAGGAGUCUGAAUCCUCCUCUGCGCUCCACACAGCCCCUCUGCUUCCUCUUUCCUGGGGUUCGCUUGACAAGCUAGACUCUUCUCAGACACCCGACAGGUCUCGGCCUGCAUCUGCACUGUGCUGGGGGGACUCAGUUCCUCCAUCGCUGUGGGAGCCGGGCUGUUAACCCCCACGGUCCUGUUCAAACACUGACGCUCCCUGAGUACUUCUGGUCACGUUUGGGAAAUUGACCUUAGACGCCCUCAUGGUGAGUGCACAGCUUUGAAAGCGAUGAGUCUGGUUUCUAAAUGAGCCAGAGAGUCCCCGAGUCCAGGGCCUUGACCAACAGGAGACUGAGGGCCGGAGCUCACUGCGGAGCCCAGUAGCACCUGCAUCUGCUGGGGACGGGCUGCUCCCCUCUACUCCUGGGACCGGUCUCGCAACUCGGGGCCAAAUAGUCGCACACGUCAUUGUGGUGGUCGGGCGGGGUCCAGAUGAGGAGGCUGCUGAGAAGCCGUGGAAAUAGCUGCCCCGGGAAUUAGGGAUUUAUCCAGAUGCCUGUCUCGUGGGCUUCCCCGGCCUUAUCCAAAGUCUCUGGUCACUAGAAUCCUUUUGGGUCCCCACCGGUACCAUGCCCUUCACGGUGGCUGAAAAAUCAAAUAUUCUGCAGUGUGUUUCAAAGCCAGCUCCCGCACAGCUCCACGGAGGCUCACGACACGGCCAGGUAGUUUUCUGUUCUUUGGACAUGUAUUUUCUUCUCCCCCACCUCCUCCUCUUCCUCUCCUCUCUUCCUCUUCUUUCUUCUCCUCCUUCUUCUUUUUGCAGUGUUGAAGACUGAACUCAGGGUCUUACACUACACUACACCAAGCUCUUUAAAUUCUGAGACAGGGCCUCACUAAGGUGCCCAAGCUGAACUCAAACUUGUGAUCCUCCUGCCUCAGUCUCCCGGGAUGCUGGGGUUGCUAGUGUGCACCAGCACACCCAGCUUACCCUAGGUCUCUGCAGGCUGAGGGAGGCCGCCCGGCCGCCCGUUGCUGGGUAGUUAUCUGCGUUAUCCAGAUGUAUCAGUUAGAGAGGCAGAAUCAAUACGGAAUGCGAGUGCCAUUAUACGAAGAGAGUCAGCGGUGGGCUCACAGGAUCCAAGGCCGAGAGUCCGCAAUGGCUGUUCGUGUGGAGAGCUCAGGGUCCAGCAGCUGCUCAGCCCGAGAAGCUGGAAGCCGCAGAACAAGAGGGAUCAAGGACGCAGCAAGGUCACAGGCCUGACAGCUCCUGGGCGCUGCCCUGUGAGUCUGUGUUGGGGCUGAGGAGGCAGGAGGCCGAGGCCCAAAGGUGAGGGCAGCAAAGGACGCGUCCACUCGAGCAAGCUGGCGCUCUUCAGAACCAACACACCUCCUCCUUUCCCCUUUCAUUCCCUCCAGCCCACGAGCCUAUUGGUCAGCCCCUCCUCACAGGGGGCGGGUUUUCCUCCUCCGUUUGCUGCCAGCCUGUCAGUCAUCCACAGACUCCUCAGAACUGUGCUUUAUGAAUCUGCUGAGUGUUUUCUACAUUGGUCAAAUUGGCAUAUUGUGAUUUUUAAAAGAAAAUAGUAUUUGCGGUACAUAAUGAUUACAUUCAUUGUGCAGAGUUGUUACAUGGAUAUAAUAAUGCAUCUGAAUUCUUUUUGUACCUUCUUUCCCUCCUCACCCUCCCUUACCAUUUACAAAAGAUCUAUCUCCCCAGUUUAUAUUGUCUAUCUUUUAUUUUGCUCAUUCAUUUAUUUAUACUUUGGGUUUCUCAAGUGUGAGAAAUCAUGCAAUA